UACGGAGGGUGCGAGCGUUGUCCGGAAUCACUGGGCGUAAAGGGCGCGUAGGCGGCGCGACAAGUCAGUGGUGAAAGCCCGAGGCUCAACUUCGGGUCGGCCACUGAUACUGUCGGGCUCGAGCACUGUAGAGGCAGGUGGAAUUCCGGGUGUAGCGGUGGAAUGCGUAGAGAUCCGGAAGAACACCGGUGGCGAAGGCGGCCUGCUGGGCAGUAGCUGACGCUGAGGCGCGACAGCGUGGGGGAGCAAACAGG
This 254-nucleotide ribosomal RNA is filed under the name uncultured bacterium. RNAcentral's name for it is "partial 16S ribosomal RNA". It matches the Rfam family "Bacterial small subunit ribosomal RNA", at positions 524 to 776 of the family's 1533-position model. The record is from RNAcentral.